This 510-nucleotide ribosomal RNA is filed under the name uncultured bacterium. RNAcentral describes it as "bacterial SSU rRNA". It matches the Rfam family "Bacterial small subunit ribosomal RNA", at positions 17 to 518 of the family's 1533-position model. The record is from RNAcentral.
UUCUGGCUCAGGAUGAACGCUAGCUACAGGCUUAACACAUGCAAGUCGAGGGGCAGCAUUGGAGUAGCAAUACUUCAGAUGGCGACCGGCGCACGGGUGAGUAACACGUAUCCAACCUGCCGCUUACUCGGGGAUAGCCUUUCGAAAGAAAGAUUAAUACCCGAUGGUAUAAAGAGUUCGCAUGUUCUCUUUAUUAAAGAAUUUCGGUAAGCGAUGGGGAUGCGUUCCAUUAGAUAGUUGGCGGGGUAACGGCCCACCAAGUCUACGAUGGAUAGGGGUUCUGAGAGGAAGGUCCCCCACAUUGGAACUGAGACACGGUCCAAACUCCUACGGGAGGCAGCAGUGGGGAAUAUUGGUCAAUGGACGAGAGUCUGAACCAGCCAAAGUAGCGUGAAGGAUGACUGCCCUAUGGGUUGUAAACUUCUUUUAUAAGGGAAUAAAGUGAGGGACGUGUCCCUUUUUGUAUGUACCUUAUGAAUAAGGAUCGGCUAACUCCGUGCCAGCCGCCGC